UUCAAGCUGAAAACAGAGCCCACGCUGCACAGCACCGCGCCUCCUCCGGCAAAAGCGAUGUUCAGGCGCUCUGCGAGCAGCACCCGUGGGGAGCUCAGUGACCUUCUCGCUCCCAUCAUCCCUUGGGCCACAGUUUCUAAAGCAGCCCCACAAACACUCACCUGAUUUCGGCGUCAGACCUAUGAGGCAGAAUUUCACUCUUGUUGCCCAGGCUGGAGUGCAAUGGCAAGAUCUCGGCUCACUGCAACCUCCGCCUCCCGGGUUCAAGCGAUUCUCCUGCCUCAGCCUCCCGUGUAGCUGGGACUACAGGAUGAUGGAUUCACACCUGCCUCGGCCAUGCACCCCAUCACAAAACCAGAAGCCUAGGAGUGCUCCUGUCAUCUUGAUUUUUCUCUCACAUCAGUGAUUCCAAAAUAAGGACUUAACCUGUGUGCUUCUCUUCUUCUCGCUGUCCCCACCCACCAGAGUCUCCCACCUGGACUGUUACCAUUGCCUCCUAACUGACCUUCCUACUUGCAUGCCUGUCAUCAUCUGCCCAUUUUCAACAUGCCUUCCAGAAGACAAAAUCUAUACUUAUCAGCUGAAGUUUGCAUAAAAUGCUCCAGUGCCUUCCACUUGCACCCAGGAUUCAAUCCAAAGCCCCUCCCAGGGCUGCCCAGGCUGUUUCCCCAACCUCCUUAGGGCCAUCUCCUCCUGGCUCCUACCCUCCUUGGCCCACUGCUGCCCCCGGAUCACACCCAGCUCCUCCCAGGACCUCAGCCCUGGCUGCUCCAGACCUUCCACUUGGUCCCUUGCCUUCUGUCAGUUCCCAAAGGUCAUCUUCCCAGAGAGACCCUCCCUGACCCUGGGUAAACUGCGUCUCCCUAUGCUGCUCCAGCCAGCACCCUGUUGACUCCCCUCACAAUGCUAACAAGCAUCUGCAUUCCAUUUGCAUUUGUGGUUGUUUGCUUGUUUGUUCUGUCUCCCCCACUAGACAUUCCAGGAAGGUGAGGCCAUGCCUUGCCAGUACCUACUUAACAUUCAAUGAAUGAAUGAAUGAAUGAAUGAAUGAAUGAACGAACGAACGAGUGAACUCAGGGUGGUGCUUCACCUGCUGGUUUACACGCCUGUCUCUGCCCACCCACCCUGGUAGAGUCUCUUAAGGGAGGGACCCCCUCUGACUACCUCUGUUCUUA
This 1175-nucleotide long non-coding RNA is filed under the name Homo sapiens (human). Its description in RNAcentral is "HSALNT0388239". Lineage: Eukaryota; Metazoa; Chordata; Mammalia; Primates; Hominidae. The record is from RNAcentral.